Molecule: transfer RNA, 64 nt
Filed under: Chorosoma macilentum
Lineage: Eukaryota; Metazoa; Arthropoda; Insecta; Hemiptera; Rhopalidae
Also listed under: 1 other name
Description: tRNA-Gly
Rfam family: tRNA
About the family: Transfer RNA (tRNA) molecules are approximately 80 nucleotides in length. Their secondary structure includes four short double-helical elements and three loops (D, anti-codon, and T loops). Further hydrogen bonds mediate the characteristic L-shaped molecular structure. tRNAs have two regions of fundamental functional importance: the anti-codon, which is responsible for specific mRNA codon recognition, and the 3' end, to which the tRNAs corresponding amino acid is attached (by aminoacyl-tRNA synthetases). tRNAs cope with the degeneracy of the genetic code in two manners: having more than one tRNA (with a specific anti-codon) for a particular amino acid; and 'wobble' base-pairing, i.e. permitting non-standard base-pairing at the 3rd anti-codon position.
Source: RNAcentral
ACUUUUUUAGUAUAAUUAAUAUAUUUGACUUCCAAUCAAAAGAUCUUACUUCUAAGAAAAAGUA